GGACGCUGCUCCCGGUCGCCGUCGCUCGAGUUUGGUCUCCCGACGCACCCGCGGGUUUUGACAGGAGCCGUGCAUCUUCGUGCCUUCGUGAACACGUGUAGAGUUACCUUCACAGGCCGCCUAGGCCCUGGCCAAUUCGCCCUUCCUCUGCCCGUCCGCUCAGCCGGCUUCCCGCUAACCUUGACAAGCAUUUCUGCGCACGGUGCACGCUUCUUGCAUUUUUUUUUCCUUCUUUGAACUAAAACCGAAACAAACUCCUGUUUUCUCGAGUGGUUUCUGUAGCGGCGCUGAACCGGAACACCCCAGAUGCUUUCUCUCGGUGAGAGGGUGAGCUGGUAGUCAGCCCAUUUCUCACACGCGGAAACUGAGGCCUGCGGAGAGGCGGCCCCGGACAGGUUUUGCACGGAAAAACUUCUCCAAAGGGCUUUGUUCAAGGUGGCCGGCACCCCGUCUGAAGUAGAGUGGCGUUUUCUUCUGAAACACUUGGCAACGUCUUGCAUUGAUCUCACUGAGAGACAAGCACCCCAGCACCCUAGCACCCCCUCUUUCUAGCCACUGAAAUCUACGUGAGAAAUAAAGGCCGUAAAAAGCAACGUCAAAUUGUAUAGUCUUCUGCGGUUUCCAACAGAUUUUCAAAGAUGAGGAAAGUCAGGAAGAUGCGCAUGAGGCCCAGAAAGUUUGUGCUGAGAUUUGAAGAAGGAGAAGAAAAAGAAGGCGGAAUGCUUACCCUGGAAGGGGAACGGCAGCGACAGAGCAAGUCUCAGGAAGGGCCUGGUGUGUGUUAGAGCAGGUGCACAAGUCAUCACCAGAAAAUCUUCAGGAUACAAUACACAAAGAGAGGAGCUGCCAGUGCUGGAAGGACGGGUCCCAGAAGGGGAGCCGUCUCAAGGAAAAGGACCUUAUUGUUCUUUUGUUCCCUGUCAUCCAGGUCUGAUACUCUGUUUGCCAUUUCCUCUCCCUUCCCUUUGAUACUUGUGGCAGGGGAAGUUGUAUCGUUGGUUCUUCCUGCUGACAUCUGGGUCAGGUACUUGACUCAUAUGACCUCAUGACUAUUCUUUUCGGAGAGUUAGAUGGGAUAGGGAGUAAGUUGUCGUCACUGUCCAUGGGUUGAAAACUCUAGAAAGUUUAGGAAUAAAAGAGUUGGAGGAAGAAACGUAUAGACGAAGAGAUGGGACAUGCAUCAAAGCACAGGACAGCGUGCGCUGGGUUGAGAGAGGUCCCGAAAUAGAAAGCGCUUCUCUUGGGAUUCACACUGCAGGCCUUGGCAGGCGGCCCGCCCUUAUCACCGUUAAUUUUCAGACUUUGGAAUUGGGCACCACACCCUGGUGUUAAGCUGUUAACCUCCAGAAUCAAGGCCACAGCUGCCGGGAAGAAUUCCUCUUUCAGGCUGUGGCCUCAGCAGAGUUCUCCGUCUGGACGCGCCACAAAGGGUGAAUGCUCCUAAAUUCAGUGCCAUGAUUCUGGGACUCUAUAUAUACUCAGGCGGCUCCCACUCCUUUCCUCCAGGACGCACACACAGAGCAGAACUGUCCUGGAGUGGAUCAGGGCACUGCAGUUGCAGAGAGAGAGACAGACAGACCGCCCUCCUUUGUUCUACUUCCCGGAAGAGUAAAAUUGGAAAAAAAGCGGAUACUUUGAGGAAAUAAAGGACAUUUCUAGAGCCUGGAUUUUCACAGCAGAAGUCUGCUCUGGGUCUAGAGACAGGUCACAGUUUUCAGAUUCGGGAGAUCUUGAGACUUCCCCCAGUUUUCCUUGCCGUGUGCCGUGACGUUACACGCAGGCCAUCAGCAGGGGGCUCUCUCAACCUUAGCAGCUGCUGUGGAUGCCUGGGAGGCCACGCCAUGCAAAUGAGAGAAGAAACGCAGAUCUGACUGUGAGUUUAAAAUCCAAUGCCCCAAAGUCCUUUGGAGAGAAGAAACCCUAACCCAUCCCGAAAACAGACCACUUCAGCAAGAAGGUAUUUGCUAGCGUUUACAUUAAAUGACACUGUUUAAAUUCCUGGAUCGAGGUCAGCGUAAUGUUUAUGCUCAGAGUAACACGUAGCUAAGUUAUCCUUCAGAGAACCUAAGAAGCAGAACAACUCUCUGACCAGUGGUUUAAUUGUUUCUGGACUGGCGGCUCAACGAUUCCUAAAUAUUGAAUCACAGCACCAUCAAUCACCGUCGGUCCCAGGUCUGAACCAAAGCUUUGCAGAUGCCAAAUCCCUAUGUGGCAUUUGCCCAAAAUCACGCCGGCUAAACACACGGUGCCUCAUUGAUAAAGCGUAAUGUCCGGGUAGCUAAUGGCCGCUAUCUGUUAGGGCCGUUGGAGCUGGCCAACUGCUCUCAAUUAAGAUGGAAAAGGCCGCAUGGUGAAGAUGGAAUCAGGAAAAGGAAACCGGACACUGCCAGAACCACAUCUGUCUGGAGUUAAUAUCUCCUGGGAGUGUUGUAAUUUUCCAUUCUGUAGAUACAGCAGGCUGGGCUCCAGUGCAAGUAUUAGUAGGAAUCAGGGUGCCCUCUUCCUUGGAAGUUCCUAGACAACCUCUGUUCAGGUUUUAUUACUGCCUAACUCUGUUCUUCUUAGCUCUAGGCAAAUAAUCAUGUUCCUUUAUUACAACUUCAGCUGAGACGUGUUACAAUGCAUGUUGCCAUUGAUGGUUUGAUAUCAGGUAUGCUUCUUUGAGGAAAUUACAGGAGAAUGCCCCAAAUUCCCCAACAACAUUUGGGAGGCAUCUUGGACUUUUAUUUGGGGGUGAUGGGGACACACCUAGUCAGUGGGUGAGGUUUUGUAACCUUUUCCAAUUCCAGGGAAGAGGCGGCACCGUAUUGUGACCAAAUUCUACCUCCCACCUGUCCCCUAUAAAAGUGUACCAAACAGAGGAACCAGAUAGCUCCCGGGCAAACCGCACCCUGAGCGCCGAGUGGACUCGAGGGGACGUGGGCUUUGGGAGGUCAGGGUUAGUCGGCAGGAUCUGGAGGCAUGAGCAUGAGUCCUCUUGGUGACAGAAAGGCAAACACAUCUGAGUAGAAACUUUGGGGAAGCCACUCCAGGCUACUGCGGUGGGAAACUCAACGGUUUCUGUUUGUACUGGCUUCGUUCAUUCACAUGUUUCUCAUCAGCUGCAUUCAGACUGAUUCCAUUUGCAGAGCUCUCCUGGCAGUCUUGGUGCAUGGGGCUUGGUGGCAAAAUCCCCGGCAGUUCUGACCCUGCCCAGGCCCUGCUCUUCUCGUGUAGUUUCUUGGCGCUUUAGUGUCUAAGCAGAAAUUGGCUAAGCAGACGCAGCAGUUGAACAAAACCAAAUGUAAAACAGAACGUUGGAACACCGAAUGAAGAGAUAUUUCUAUGUGUGGGGAGCAGGAAUGCAGUGAGGGGCAGUGAGGGAGGGGCUUCCUUAGAACCAGACUGAAUCAGGCUCCCAUCUUGUCAGCAUCCUCGCUAAUUACGCCAGAUCAAAAGUUGUAUCCCCUUUACCCUUCCGUCUCACUAAUGGAUGCCAUAGAAAAUAUUUGGGUCCCUGGCCCUCACAGGAGUUGUGACCCACGACACGCUGACACCACUUAAUUUUUCUCAGAAUCCUUUAACUUAGCUUUGCACACUCCCAUCAGCUUCCUUCUUAGCACCCACCUCCCCAGCCCCAACUGUUUCACAUGUGUGGCUCAUCUUUUCUUCCUCCACUUGACGCUGACUUUUCUUGUACCGUUAGGGAGGAUGCUUGUCAUCCCACCCUUUAUAUCGACACGGCAGGGAGAGGCCAUCCAGUUGGAGAAACGUCCAAGCCCUCUCUUCCCACUGUUGAGACUGGGAGAAAGGCACUGCUGUCCACAGCCCUUGGCCGUUUCCCAGGGACUGACAGCAUGUGUUCUGUGGUUCUUGUCCUGCAUGUUGCUGUCUGGAUUUGAUUUCUGCAUGUGUGGGUCAUGGGGUCUGAAAUUAGGGUGGAGACCUAAGUAUUAGGAAGGAGAGAGUCCAUUGGCUUCAGGUUCAAGACAUUGAUCCAGUCCAGUAAAACUGGUAUGCACACGCACAAACACGUACGUGCACGCACUUCCACGCACACACAGGGUGGUCUCACAGUCACGCAGUUCAAAACGCAAAAGGCAAAAAGGGGCAUAUAUAUCUUCCCGCACGCCUGUUCCCCAGCUUCUUAGUCCCCUUUGUAGAUCCCACCAGGGUUUACAGUGUCUCCUGUCCCUGCAGACAUGUUUUAAACAUACAUUAGCAAAUAAAUCUUACGUUGCCCCACAGUUGGUAGCAUACUAUACAUAGUGUUCAACAUCCUUUUGUUUUUUUUUCACCUUUUAAAAUGGCUGCAUAGUGUAUCAUUGAAUGAAUUUCCAUAAUUUAUUUAACUAGUCCCAUAU
This is a long non-coding RNA of Lagenorhynchus albirostris (white-beaked dolphin), 4343 nucleotides long. RefSeq lists it as uncharacterized. The record is from RefSeq and is a predicted model, not a curated record. The transcript is spliced from 5 exons. Lineage: Eukaryota; Metazoa; Chordata; Mammalia; Artiodactyla; Delphinidae.